CGGCGAACGGGUGAGUAACACGUGAGCAACCUGCCCCGAAGACUGGGAUAACACCGGGAAACCGGUGCUAAUACCGGAUACCCCCACCAAGCCGCAUGACCAGGUGAGGAAAUGAAUUUCGCUUCGGGAGGGGCUCGCGGGCUAUCAGCUUGUUGGUGGGGUAACGGCCUACCAAGGCGACGACGGCUAGCUGGUCUGAGAGGACGAUCAGCCACACUGGGACUGAGACACGGCCCAG
Molecule: ribosomal RNA, 238 nt
Filed under: uncultured bacterium
Lineage: Bacteria
Description: partial 16S ribosomal RNA
Rfam family: Bacterial small subunit ribosomal RNA
Source: RNAcentral